Molecule: ribosomal RNA, 497 nt
Filed under: uncultured bacterium
Lineage: Bacteria
Description: partial 16S ribosomal RNA
Rfam family: Bacterial small subunit ribosomal RNA
Source: RNAcentral
GAUGAACGCUGGCGGCGUGCCUAAUACAUGCAAGUCGAGCGAACAGACGAGGAGCUUGCUCCUCUGACGUUAGCGGCGGACGGGUGAGUAACACGUGGAUAACCUACCUAUAAGACUGGGAUAACUUCGGGAAACCGGAGCUAAUACCGGAUAAUAUAUUGAACCGCAUGGUUCAAUAGUGAAAGACGGUUUUGCUGUCACUUAUAGCUGGAUCCGCGCCGCAUUAGCUAGUUGGUAAGGUAACGGCUUACCAAGGCAACGAUGCGUAGCCGACCUGAGAGGGGGAUCGGCCGCACUGGAACUGAGACACGGUCCAGACUCCUACGGGAGGCAGCAGUAGGGAAUCGUCCGCAAUGGGCGAAAGCCUGACGGAGCAACGCCGCGUGAGUGAUGAAGGUCUUCGGAUCGUAAAACUCUGUUAUUAGGGAAGAACAAAUGUGUAAGUAACUAUGCACGGCUUGACGGUACCUAAUCAGAAAGCCACGGCUAACUACGUG